UGGGCCAUCUUAGCGGAGGAUCGGCGCACCCAGAGCCCUUUGUGAACUUAUACCUAUUGUUGCCUCGGCGCAGGCCGGCCUCUUCACUGAGGCCCCCUGGAGACAGGGAGCAGCCCGCCGGCGGCCAACCAAACUCUUGUUUCUACAGUGAAUCUCUGAGUACAAAACAUAAAUGAAUCAAAACUUUCAACAACGGAUCUCUUGGUUCUGGCAUCGAUGAAGAACGCAGCGAAAUGCGAUAAGUAAUGUGAAUUGCAGAAUUCAGUGAAUCAUCGAAUCUUUGAACGCACAUUGCGCCCUCUGGUAUUCCGGAGGGCAUGCCUGUUCGAGCGUCAUUUCAACCCUCAAGCCUGGCUUGGUGAUGGGGCACUGCUCUCUGACGGGAGCAGGCCCUGAAAUCUAGUGGCGAGCUCGCUAGGACCCCGAGCGUAGUAGUUAUAUCUCGUUCUGGAAGGCCCUGGCGGUGCCCUGCCGUUAAAACCCCAACUUCUGAAAAUUUGACCUCGGAUCAGGUAGGAAUACCCGCUGAACUUAAGCAUAUCAAUAAGCGGAGGAA
This 556-nucleotide ribosomal RNA is filed under the name Valsaceae sp. HGPJ-18. Its description in RNAcentral is "eukaryotic LSU rRNA". The stretch from base 182 to 335 matches the Rfam family "5.8S ribosomal RNA". Lineage: Eukaryota; Fungi; Ascomycota; Sordariomycetes; Diaporthales; Cytosporaceae. The record is from RNAcentral.